Molecule: ribosomal RNA, 498 nt
Filed under: uncultured bacterium
Lineage: Bacteria
Description: partial 16S ribosomal RNA
Rfam family: Bacterial small subunit ribosomal RNA
Source: RNAcentral
GACGAACGCUGGCGGCGUGCCUAAUACAUGCAAGUCGAGCGGACGAAUCGAAAGCUUGCUUUUGUUUCGUUAGCGGCGGACGGGUGAGUAACACGUGGACAACCUGCCCUGUAGACGGGGAUAACACCGAGAAAUCGGUGCUAAUACCGGAUAACACGAAAUGUCGCAUGACGUUUCGGUGAAAGACGGCGCAAGCUGUCGCUACAGGUUGGUCCCGCGGCGCAUUAGCUAGUUGGUGAGGUAACGGCUAACCAAGGCGACGAUGCGUAGCCGACCUGAGAGGGUGAUCGGCCACACUGGGACUGAGACACGGCCCAGACUCCUACGGGAGGCAGCAGUAAGGAAUCUUCCGCAAUGGACGAAAGUCUGACGGAGCAACGCCGCGUGAGUGAAGAAGGCCUUCGGGUCGUAAAGCUCUGUUGUUAGGGAAGAACAAGUAACGCAGUAACUAGCGUCAUCGUGACGGUACCUAACGAGAAAGCCACGGCUAACUACGUG